GGGGAUGUAAAGGGUUCGACGGGGUCGCGGAGACUCAGGGAGCGAGCCGCAGUGGGUACUGCGUAAAAAACCCAACUUUUUAAAUUAAACGCUAACAAUAAUUUAGCUUACGCUGCCUAAUUUACGCAGCUGCCUUACUGCGAUUACCGCGCUCGCAGACUAAGGUAUCAUCCAAGCGGUGAACGUGAGUUUGGAAAGCUUUGACCAAACCAUGCAUCUAUGAAGCUACUGCUUGCAGAGGCUUGUUUGUGAGCCACUGCACAGCGGGAAUCUAAAUCACAAACUACGCUCGUAGCGCCCUGUGGGGACGCUUCUUCGGACAGGGGUUCAAUUCCCCUCAUCUCCACCA
This 349-nucleotide transfer-messenger RNA is filed under the name Monoglobaceae. RNAcentral describes it as "UMGS1820 sp900769795 Standard tmRNA". It matches the Rfam family "transfer-messenger RNA". Rfam says of the family: Bacterial tmRNA, also known as 10Sa RNA or SsrA, is named for its dual tRNA and mRNA-like properties. Its role is to liberate the mRNA from a stalled ribosome. The record is from RNAcentral. RNAcentral also lists the same sequence under 1 other name. Lineage: Bacteria; Bacillati; Bacillota; Clostridia; Monoglobales.